GAAGAACGCUAGCUACAGGCUUAACACAUGCAAGUCGAGGGGUAACGAGAGGAAAGCUUGCUUUCCUUGUCGACGACCGGCGCACGGGUGAGUAACGCGUAUCCAACCUGCCCCCAACUAGGGAAUAACCUUGCGAAAGUAAGACUAAUACCCUAUAAUUUCCUCAGAUGACAUCUGACGAGGAAUAAAGAUUUAUCGGUUGUGGAUGGGGAUGCGUCUGAUUAGCUUGUUGGCGGGGUAACGGCCCACCAAGGCAACGAUCAGUAGGGGUUCUGAGAGGAAGGUCCCCCACAUUGGAACUGAGACACGGUCCAAACUCCUACGGGAAGCAGCAGUGAGGAAUAUUGGUCAAUGGGCGGAAGCCUGAACCAGCCAAGUAGCGUGCAGGAUGACGGCCCUAUGGGUUGUAAACUGCUUUUAUACAGGAAUAAAGUUAGCCACGUGUGGUUAUUUGUAGGUACUGUAUGAAUAAGGACCGGCUAAUUCCGUGCCAGCCGCCGCGGUAA
RNAcentral lists this ribosomal RNA (506 nucleotides) under uncultured bacterium. Its description in RNAcentral is "partial 16S ribosomal RNA". It matches the Rfam family "Bacterial small subunit ribosomal RNA", at positions 28 to 523 of the family's 1533-position model. The record is from RNAcentral.